AGCGACAACGUUUGGUAAUUUUGCACGCUCACAAUGUCGAAACAGUAAACAGAUUGUAAUGGUCAAGACGUCAAUUCUGCAAGUAAUGUUGAAUAAAUUGCUAUCAGACAUGUCGGACAUUAUUACUUAGAUCGAAUCGCGACAAUUAUUUGUGUUAUUUAAUCCAAAGAUUUUGUGAAUUACGAUAGAACUUGAGGUCGUGUAAACCCGGACACCACCCCAAUCGCAUGAGAAAUCACAGACGUUGUAUGUGUACCGUGCAACUGUAUGCAUGCACUGCGAGUGAUCGUGAACGGAAGAACUUUGCCUUGGCUACACCGUGUAGUAAUGUCGGUUUACAUUCACGAGAUUUUCUCGGGGCAGCAAUGACCAAAUGUAAAGAUUCCCUUGCAAAAUUAAUGACAGAAUCAUUUUUUAUCCUAUUAAAACACUGUAUACGUUUAAAUGAGCGUUUUACGUACCAAAACAGUCGGAUCACUUCAGCUCGCAUUUGUCGCACUUGCUUGAGUAUCACCUCACCUUUGUCCGAUGACCGGUUAACAGCGAAAGCUAUACAGGCAAAACAUUGCGCAAACAAUUAAUACUUGGAAAAUAAGACAUAAUCAACGUGACUUUGUGACAUAAUUAUUCAUCAUUUUUCGAAAACCAAUGACAGGGUGGUUUAUAAUGGUCUGUGGCUGUUUUCAACAUUGUUUAUAUAUAAAACACUUGGUUUUUAAUUAUUGUCUCGCGGAAGAACAUUAAUACAUUUGGAUGGGCGUGCUGGCGUACGUGAUUGGACAAAAUUGAGUUCCUUUAAAAAUGUCGGUGAAUGUAUGGGGAUGCGUGACUAGCUGACACUCAUCUUGACCUUAUUUCAUCUGACGCCAUGUUGAAAGUUGGAGCUGAGUUGCAUGCAGUACAAGCGUGGCAUAUAUCUAGUUCUGAUUUCCGUUUCACCCUGCAUGUCAGUUAGACAUUUCACAGUUUACCAGCAAUGCAGUCGACUUGAUGAGAAGGAAAAUCUUCACCGGGUUGCAUGUCAACUUCGACGUAACUGCACUUCGCCACGUGUGGACUUUGCACUGUCUUUGGCAUACGGUAAUUCUCAACGCAUGUGAAGUUAGAUGAUCGUGUGAGAUCUACACGCUUUUCACUGUAGACCGACUUACAUCAACGGCACGUCCCAUGCUUUAUUUCGUUGUGGAAUUUUGAGAACGUCACCGGCCGGGAAGUCACUCGUUGAUCAUAGUUAUAGGCCUAUUUAUAUCAUCUCCAUAUAUUAGGAGAAUGGCUUGAGAAUCAUAAGUUAGAGAAAUCUCAGUAGACUGAACUGAAAACACACGACAUAUCUUUAUGUACAGCUCUGAGAUGGGUUCAGAAGUAUCCAAAACUUGUUUUUAAAGGUGAUUCCACUCGAGACCAACAGGACCCUACUUGUAUACCCGCUGUUCAACACACCUGAUGACCCUGUUUGAAUUCUGGCGUACUCCCAAUCGGACCGGGCAAUCGGAUGAUCUUUUAGAGAGCAAUUACACUGCAGUGAGAGGGAAUAUUGAAAACACAUUGUAUUCUGCUUCAGAAUAAACGCAACUCUGAUCUGCCGAUUUUUUUCCUUCACAGAUUCUCCGUAUAUCUUGGCAUCAGGCCAUGUAUUGUUCAGCAUAAAAAGAAAUAAGACCAAGACGUGUCAUACUCAGAAAGGAUUUGUCACGCGGUGGCAAUCACGUGUAAGCAGACAAAGCCUAAAUUGCAUCAGAAAAGGAACUGGCGUACGAUAUGGCAACCACAGCAUACAACUCUCUGAGUCGUGCUGGCUUAACCUUCGAGUAUCUGCAUACAAACUCAACAACUCACGAGUUUUUAUUUGGAGCUCUUGCAGAACUUCUUGACAAUGCCAGGGACGCAGAAGCAAGUCGUAUGGAUGUGUACACAGGUAAAUAAUCUAAAAAGGAGAACGUAUAUAGGCUGAUUGGCCAGCACCAUCCAAAUGUCCGUAAAAACACCCAUCCCUCCCCCACGUUGAACAUAAAAUGGUUUCAUAACUUUGAAAGUAUAGUCCUCAUUGACACAAGGAAAAAUUUAUUUACAACAAUGACUUUCUCCAGUGAAGAAUUAGGCUUGAGGAAAUGGUUUUGCAAUUGGUUACUGAAAAUAGUAUAUUAACACAAAGUAACACAUUACAAGUACCUGAAAAAUAGAAUAUAAGACAGUGGUCAUUUAGAUAUCAUAAGGAAUUUGUUCAAAGAGGUCUGGUAUUAACCGAGGCGUAUUUUGAAGAUUUGGAGGGAAGGGAUGUCUGAAUAUAAAGCGGUAGGGAGUUGAAAAGUUUGGUUCCAAUAUAAGAGAAAGAACGUUUUAUUUGUUUUCAAGUUUUUGAUUUAGGCAGGUAAAAUAGGUUGAUAACAACAUGUCGAGUAGGGUAAAUGAGAUAAAGUCCACCGGAUGACAGAAAAAAAUCAAUGGGAAUCAUAUGUGCGUUACUGUGUCUUUGCAUAAUUUUUUUUUUAAAGUGUAUAGCACAAAAUUUCAUAAAGUAGCCAUAUAAAUCAGUACCAAAUAAGAAUGAGAAGGCCUGCAUGCGAGCGCGUUUGCACUGGUAAACAUCAGUCAUGUAAUUACGCCUGUAGUUCAUGCACAUAAUAAGCUGGAUAAGUGUGAUGUUUAGAAUAAUAUUGCAGUUCAAAUUGUGUUAUGUGACGAGAUGCAGAGAUGCAUUAUGAGACAGGGGCAUUGCUGGGACCGACCGCCGCCCCUAAUGAUUCUCCAGUGGUGAAAAAUAAGACAAAAUGACGGAAUUCUAGCCAUGAAAAGAGGAAGAAAAAUGAAACAGGUAUCAAAUGAUAUCUUUAAUUCUUUAUAUUGAUUUUAUCAUGUUACUCAUGUUACUUUUCUUGGUAGGAUGGUAGUGGGUUUGGAUUCCUGCCAUGCGUAUUUUCCGUUAGCAAGAACUUUGAUCUAUGUUGUGAUGCACUCGACCCCGGUGAGGUGGAUGGGUAACCGGUAGAAUUUAUACCUUAACUUUAGCGCCUAUUUGGCGGCCCAGCUGCAGUCGUGAUAUUGAAGUGCAAUGGAGUAUAUGCAUAGUAACUGCGCUUUAUAAUUGGACAUAUAUUAUUAUUAUUGCAAUUAUGAGUGAUUACGUCAACUCUAGGUCUUCUUUCUACCCUCCCCCAUAUACCCAUGGUGCAACCACUGGCUUGUAAGCCUUUAAAGUGGGAAAAGAAUGCUGUCUGAGUGUGUUUGUGUGUGUGAGAGAUGGGCUUGGUCUUUUAUACUCAAAACAGAAUUAGCACCCCUGCAGGUUGACCACGCAGAUCAACAUACUGGUUAUGCUACUUUUAUAUCUAUUGCACUUUGUGUUAUCUCUUUUGUUAAAGUUAUAUCAGUGCGUAGAGGUAUUACUCCAUUGGCCAUGGAAUGAUAUGAUAGAAGGUAAAACAAUUACUUUCAUGUUUCACCGAACACUGACAAUCUUUGUCCGGAGUGACAUACUGGAUUGCGCCCCAAUGAAGGAAAUGACACAUUAAAAGCAAUUGUCCGAAUUGUGUAUUCACAAUCUAAUAUGUCAAAUGAAUGGCUUUUUGCAUUCUUGAAUUCCUUGAACAUAUCUUGUAAUUUGGUUUUGGUUUAUUGAAGACCAGUUCAAUGAAUUACCCUCUAGAUUACCAUAAUAUGUAUCACUAUCAUAUAGUUUUUCCCUAAUAUGAAUACCCUCUAAAUCUGUUUAGAGUUCAGAAAUUCAUUUUUUUAUGAGGAUGAAUUCAACUUGUGUAUACCUGUGUGUAAAAAAAAUUAUGAUUGUCUCGACUCCUGAAUGUGAUUAUCCUAACUCUCUAUAUGUUGCACAUUUUAUAUAUAUUUAUUUGUGUUAAAUCUGUUGGUUUAGCCAUUUUCAUUUAUGUAUAUGGACCAGCAUAUACCCCCUCUGAAUGAGUUAUAUAGUGUUCAUCGCUUCGUUUUGUUGCAAUUAAUAUUUUUUUCACUGAUCAUAUAUAUAAUAACUUAAUGUUGUACAUCACGAAUAUCAAUUCUAUUGAUUCAUUGCUUAUCUUUAAUUCGUAAAUUGUCAAAAUGAAAAGCAGUUAUGUACGUAGUUAAGUUCUCUGUUUAAAUUUCAGUACAGACAUUUACAUAUAGUGUAGUUUAUCACUCAAAAUGUAUCCAUGGCGUAAACAUAAAUGAUGAGUUAUUUAGGCGUGUUUGUAGAAUUUAAGAAUCGAAAUGAACUUGAUAUGCGAGGAGUACAUCUCUCCAAGAGAAUGAAGGCCUACGGAUUUAAGAAGGCUCCACAUGCACGAAACUGUCCACCAGGUAAAGAAUGGAAAUCAUGAGCAUAUCAACACCCAGGACAAGUUAGCGUCAACCGAAGCCCCGUGGAGAAGCAUUCUUGGAGAACCUGUUUUGCAGAAUGAUUUGAAAGGAGUAUCAGCAGUAUAGCUUGCAUCAAAUGAAAUGGAUGCAAGCUUAAAUUUUAGUGAUACGUUGAGCAUCGGCGGGUUAACGUACGGUACAACGUCUGAUUAUUAUAUUAAAUGCAGUCCACCUUUAGGUGCCUUGCUUUAUAGUCUGGUGUAGUAUUUGUACAGUGUCUUCUAAAUAAAAAUCUGCAAACUUGCUAUGUGCAGCUAAACGU
This is a long non-coding RNA of Lytechinus pictus (painted urchin), 4615 nucleotides long. RefSeq lists it as uncharacterized. The record is from RefSeq and is a predicted model, not a curated record. Lineage: Eukaryota; Metazoa; Echinodermata; Echinoidea; Temnopleuroida; Toxopneustidae. The transcript has 4 exons.